UGGGGAAUUUUGGACAAUGGGGGAAACCCUGAUCCAGCCAUCCCGCGUGUGCGAUGAAGGCCUUCGGGUUGUAAAGCACUUUUGGCAGGAAAGAAACGUCGCGGGUUAAUACCCCGCGAAACUGACGGUACCUGCAGAAUAAGCACCGGCUAACUACGUGCCAGCAGCCGCGGUAAUACGUAGGGUGCAAGCGUUAAUCGGAAUUACUGGGCGUAAAGCGUGCGCAGGCGGUUCGGAAAGAAAGAUGUGAAAUCCCAGAGCUUAACUUUGGAACUGCAUUUUUAACUACCGGGCUAGAGUGUGUCAGAGGGAGGUGGAAUUCCGCGUGUAGCAGUGAAAUGCGUAGAUAUGCGGAGGAACACCGAUGGCGAAGGCAGCCUCCUGGGAUAACACUGACGCUCAUGCACGAAAGCGUGGGGGAGCAAACAGGAUUAGAUACCCUGGUAGUCCACGCCCUAAACGAUGUCAACUAGCUGUUGGGGCCUUCGGGCCUUGGUAGCGCAGCUAACGCGUGAAGUUGACCGCCU
RNAcentral lists this ribosomal RNA (527 nucleotides) under uncultured bacterium. RNAcentral's name for it is "partial 16S ribosomal RNA". It matches the Rfam family "Bacterial small subunit ribosomal RNA", at positions 355 to 874 of the family's 1533-position model. The record is from RNAcentral.